Molecule: ribosomal RNA, 569 nt
Filed under: uncultured fungus
Lineage: Eukaryota; Fungi
Description: eukaryotic LSU rRNA
Rfam family: 5.8S ribosomal RNA (bases 208-361)
Source: RNAcentral
GUCGUACAGGUCUCCGUAGGUGAACCUGCGGAGGGAUCAUUACACAAAUAUGAAGGCGGGCUGGAACCUCUCGGGGCUACAGCCUUGCUGAAUUAUUCACCCUUGUCUUUUGCGUACUUCUUGUUUCCUUGGUGGGUUCGCCCACCACUAGGACAAACAUAAACCUUUUGUAAUUGCAAUCAGCGUCAGUAACAAAUUAAUAAUUACAACUUUCAACAACGGAUCUCUUGGUUCUGGCAUCGAUGAAGAACGCAGCGAAAUGCGAUAAGUAGUGUGAAUUGCAGAAUUCAGCGAAUCAUCGAAUCUUUGAACGCACAUUGCGCCCUUUGGUAUUCCAAAGGGCAUGCCUGUUCGAGCGUCAUUUGUACCCUCAAGCCUUGCUUGGUGUUGGGCGUCUUGUCUCUAGCUUUGCUGGAGACUCGCCUUAAAGUAAUUGGCAGCCGGCCUACUGGUUUCGGAGCGCAGCACAAGUCGCACUCUCUAUCAGCAAAGGUCUAGCAUCCAUUAAGCCUUUUUUUCAACUUUUGACCUCGGAUCAGGUAGGGAUACCCGCUGAACUUAAGCAUAUC